RNAcentral lists this ribosomal RNA (253 nucleotides) under uncultured bacterium. RNAcentral describes it as "partial 16S ribosomal RNA". It matches the Rfam family "Bacterial small subunit ribosomal RNA", at positions 524 to 776 of the family's 1533-position model. The record is from RNAcentral.
UACGAAGGGGGCUAGCGUUGCUCGGAAUGACUGGGCGUAAAGGGCGCGUAGGCGGGCUGUACAGUCAGAUGUGAAAUUCCCGGGCUCAACCUGGGGGCUGCAUUUGAUACGUAGGGCCUUGAGUGGGGAAGAGGGUCGUGGAAUUCCCAGUGUAGAGGUGAAAUUCGUAGAUAUUGGGAAGAACACCGGUGGCGAAGGCGGCCAACUGGACCACAACUGACGCUGAGGCGCGAAAGCGUGGGGAGCAAACAGG